GAUGAACGCUGGCGGCGUGCCUAAUACAUGCAAGUCGAGCGAACAGAUAAGGAGCUUGCUCCUUUGACGUUAGCGGCGGACGGGUGAGUAACACGUGGAUAACCUACCUAUAAGACUGGGAUAACUUCGGGAAACCGGAGCUAAUACCGGAUAACAUAUUGAACCGCAUGGUUCAAUAGUGAAAGGCGGCUUUGCUGUCACUUAUAGAUGGAUCCGCGCCGUAUUAGCUAGUUGGUAAGGUAACGGCUUACCAAGGCAACGAUACGUAGCCGACCUGAGAGGGUGAUCGGCCACACUGGAACUGAGACACGGUCCAGACUCCUACGGUAGGCAGCAGUAGGGAAUCUUCCGCAAUGGGCGAAAGCCUGACGGAGCAACGCCGCGUGAGUGAUGAAGGUCUUCGGAUCGUAAAACUCUGUUAUCAGGGAAGAACAAAUGUGUAAGUAACUGUGCACAUCUUGACGGUACCUGAUCAGAAAGCCACGGCUAACUACGUG
Molecule: ribosomal RNA, 497 nt
Filed under: uncultured bacterium
Lineage: Bacteria
Description: partial 16S ribosomal RNA
Rfam family: Bacterial small subunit ribosomal RNA
Source: RNAcentral